RNAcentral lists this long non-coding RNA (392 nucleotides) under Brassica napus (rape). RNAcentral's name for it is "long non-coding RNA (BNAP_LNC015681)". The record is from RNAcentral. Lineage: Eukaryota; Viridiplantae; Streptophyta; Magnoliopsida; Brassicales; Brassicaceae.
CGAAAUAGCGAGCAGUUACAAAGGCCCGUGUUUUAUUGUACGAGGAAAUAGCGAGGAAUUACAAGGGCCCGUGUUUUUAUAUACGAGGUAUUAACGACGAUUUUGCUUACGUAGAAUUGAUGAGCCGCGUUUUCCUAUAAAUAUACCUACAACUCUCAUUCUCAAACCACACACAAACUCCCAAAUCACACUCUCAAAUCACAUUCUUCAACAAAAUCCUAUUCAAAUUAUAAAUAUUUGAAAAAAAUAGGAAAAGGAGAAGAUAUUGGAAUUCAUGUGGGCGAGACUUACGUAUUAUAAUUGCUGGAAGUCUUGCCACAUGUUAAUCUGGUAUUUCUCUCCUUUUCCUUUUUUUUCUAGUUUUUACACUACGAGAUAUUUACGACGAUUUG